This 326-nucleotide ribosomal RNA is filed under the name uncultured eukaryote. Its description in RNAcentral is "partial 18S ribosomal RNA". It matches the Rfam family "Eukaryotic small subunit ribosomal RNA", at positions 1470 to 1796 of the family's 1831-position model. The record is from RNAcentral.
CCCUUAGAUGUUCUGGGCCGCACGCGCGCUACACUGACGAAUGCAACGAGCUUAUAACCUUGGCCGAAAGGUCUGGGUAAUCUCCAAAUUUCGUCGUGAUGGGGAUAGAUUAUUGAAAUUAUUAAUCUUGAACGAGGAAUUCCUAGUAAACGCAGAUCAUCAAUCUGCAUUGAUUACGUCCCUGCCCUUUGUACACACCGCCCGUCGCACCUACCGAUUGGAUGGUCCGGUGAAGCCUCGGGAUUGUGGUUCUUGCCGCUUUAUUGUGGCGUGACCGCGAGAACUUGUCUAAACCUUAUCAUCUAGAGGAAGGUGAAGUCGUAACA